GCACCCGUGGCAUAUGGAGGUUCCCAGGCUAGGGGUUGAGUAGGAGCUGUAGCUGCUGGCCUAUGCCACAGCCACAGCAACGCCGGAUUUGAGCUGUGUCUUCAACCUACACCACAGCUCAGUGCAACACCAGAUCCUUAACCCACUGACCGAGGCCUGGGGGAUUGAACCUGCAUCCUCAUGGAUGCUAGUCAGAUUUGUUUCCACUGAGCCACGACAGGAACUCCUAAUAGUCUUUAUUUUUUAGAGCAGAAAUAUUUCGACAGCAAAGUUGAACAGAAGGUACCAAGAUUUCCCAUAUACCCCCAUGCAUACCUAGCCUCUACUAUUAUCAACAUGCCCAACCACAGUGGCACAUUUAUUACAACUGAUAGCAUAUAUUGGCAUGUCAUUAUUACCUGGAGUCCAUAGUUUACCUUAGGAUUCACUCUUAUCGUUGUACAUUCUGUAGGUUUGGACGAAUGUAUAACACCAUUUAGCCACCAUUAUAUAUCAUACAAGUUGUUUCACUGUUUCACUCUGUGCUCUGUCUAUUCAUCCAUUUCUUCCCCUCAGUUCCUGGCAACCACUGAUCUUUUUGCUGUCUCCAUACUUUUGCCUUUUCCAAAAUGUAACUCUGGAAUUACAGUUUCCAGUUGAAAUUACACAGGAUGUCACCAUUUCAGAUUGGCUUCUUUCACUUAGUACUAUGCAUUUAAGUUUCUUCCAUGUCUUUUCAUGGCUUGACAGCUCAUUUCUUUUAUCUCUGAAUACUAUUCUAUUGUCUGGUUCACCAUUCACCAUGUGUGCAUUUACCUGUGAGUACCUUCAUUGCUUCCAAGUUUUGGCAAUUAUGAAUAAAGCUUCUGUAAACAUCCAUGUGGAGGUUUUUGUGUGGACAUGUUUUCACCUCUUUGGAGUAAAAACCAAGGUGUGUGAUUGCUGGAUUGUAUGGUAAGAGUACAUUUAGUUGUGUAAGAGACUGCCAAAGUGUCUUCCAUUAAGUAGCUCUAAGGUUUUGCAUUCCUAUUGGCAAUGCAUGAGCAUUCCUGUUGCUCUACAUCCUUUCCAACAGUUGGUGUUGUCAAUGCUUUGGAUUUGGGCCAUUUAAAUAGGUAUGCAGUGGGAUUUCACUAUUUUCAUUUGCAUUUCCCUGAUGGCAUAUGUUGUGGAAUAUCUUUUCAUAUGCUUACUUACCAUCUGUAUAUCUUCUUUGGUGAGGAGAAAUGGGACAUUUUGAAUGCUUGUAUAGCUAUUCCUUUGUUAACAGCGUUAGCCUAAGCUAAAUUUUAGCUAUGAUAUACAUACAUAUUGGUGACACACAGACCCCACCUGCUCACAGUAUCAAUUGCUAAAACCCAGAUUCUGGUGUCAGACAUACCUAGGACUAAGUCUGGCUCUUCCUCUUCCACUUCCACUUGGACACUGGACAAAUUGUUUAACUUUGUAGUCAUCAGUUUAUAUAUCUGUAAAUUGGGGAUAAUACCUCACAAACUGGAUGUGAGAGUUUGAUAAGAUUAUGUGGAAAAGGCAUAGUUCCUGGCACAUAGUAUGUGCUGUGAAAGUUCAUUUAAAAGAGAAUUAUUCUUGGAGUUUCCUUUGUGGCUCAGUGGUGGGCAAAUGUGACUAGGAUCCAUGCGGAUGCAGGCUCGAACCAUGGUCUUGCUCAGUGUGUUAAGGAUCCAGCAUUGCAUGAGCUGUGGUGUAGGUCACAGAUGCAGCUCAGAUCUGCUUUCCUGUGGCUCUGGUAUAGGCUGACAGCUACAAGUCUGAUUUGACACCUAGCCUGGGAACUCCUACGCCCUGGGUGUGGCCCUAAAAAGCAAAAAACGCAAAACAAACAAAAAAUAAUAAAAGAGUUAUUCUCUUUUUAAAAAUGUAACAAGCGAAGUUUCAAUCAUCAAAGAGUUCUUUUCAGAAAUUACUUAUUUUAAUUCUUCACUCCUAAGAACAAUUUGGAGAACAUCAAACAAAAGGGCAUAAUAGUAUGAAACAUAGGAAUAUUUAUUGAAAAUGUAGUGUUGAAGGAUCUUUUGACCUAACCUACAAUUUACAUUGCAUGAUUUUUAAGUUGUAUAGGAAUAUUAAUAAGUACUAUUUGAAAUCUUCAAAAAGGACCAAAGGUAAACCUCUCUGGAGGCACAUGUUGCUGGGUCAAAAGGAUGAGGGCAUUUCAGUGAAUCUUAACACAACUGUAUUUAUCAAAGGGAAAGAAUGAUCACACAAAUAUAUAGAUGUUUCUAAAUGCACUAAGAACUGUUGAAAGUUUUGAAUGUGUUUUCUUUUCAGGGCAGCACCUGGGGCAUAUGGAAGUUUCCAGGCUAAGGGGUCAAAUCAGAGCUAUAGCUGCUGGCCUAUACCACAGCCACAGAAAAUGCCAAAUCUGAGCUGCGUCUGCAACCUACACCACAGCUCACAGCAAUGCCGAAUUCUUAACUCACUGAGCAAGGCCAGGGAUCUAACCCACAUCUUCAUGGAUACUAGCUGGAUUCAUUACUGCUGAGCCACAAUGCAAAGUCCUGAAAUUGAUGGCAUUUAUGACUUGAACCCAGCAUAAACCCAGAUUGGGACUUGAACCCAAAGUUUUUAAAUAAGAAUAACUCACUCGUGGUGUCUGGGUGUCUGGACUUACCGAGGUUCAGGUUCUUUGUGCCUCAGUGCAGAAGGAAUUCAAUGAGAGACAAAGCAAUAGGCAAGAAAUAGUUUUUUUUUUUUUUUUUUUUUUUUCUUUUCAGGGCUACACCUGCAGCAUAUGGAAGCUCCCAGGCUAGGGGUCGAAUCAGAGCUACAGCUACUGACCUACGCCACAGCAACAUGGGAUCUGAGACUCAUCUGCAACCUACACCACAGCUUAUGGCAACGCUGGAUCCCUGUCCCACUGAGCAAGACCAGGGAUUGAACUCACAUCCUUACAGAUACUAGUUGAAUUGUUUUCACUGUGCUACAGUGGGAACUCCAGAAAUAGAUUAAUUAAGAUAAGACACUUCUAAGAGAUGCAAGCAGGCUGACAAGGAAGCUCUGCCCAGAGGAUUAGGUGGGCUACAGUUUUAUAAUCCAAGGGGAGUGGGGGUGGAUAAAAUUGCCUCCUCUUCUUUGAGUAGUAGCUCCUUCUUGGUAUCUGGUAAGAGGGUAAUUGACUAUAAGAUCAAAUCAGGACUGUCAUGGUGUUUGUUCAAAUCAGCAUGAGGGUGGUCCUUAAACUCUGUCCUUGGUCUGAACCUGAAUGUAGGCCUCACCCUAUCCUCCACCCAAUGACCUGAGGCAUAUCUCGCACCUCCACUAGUCAAACAUGCCUGCCUGUUCUGAUGGCACUUUUGAGCAAUUAUUAACGUACAGUGAUCUCCCAAAGUCCCCUAGGUUUCCUCUCAUCUAUGGUCCAUUAUUGGGACUUCUACAACUACUCGUGUAACUAUCCUACUCCAUCCCUAUCACUUUCAACAUCAUCUGCAGAGCCCUGGAUUCUAGCCAUAUUAGCUUUUUGCCAUGACCCUUCUUCACUAAUCUGAACCCCACAUAUCUGGGAAAAUUCUCAACCAAUCUUUUGAGAUACCUCCUGGAAGCCUUAGCUGAUAAAUUCCUCUUAUACUCUUGGUAUAAUUCUGCAUAUACCUUGUAAAUGCUUCUAUCAUAGCAGUAAUAAUAAUAGCUACUAAAGUAUUGCAGACUUAGUAUGUGCCAGCCAUUGCAUUUAGGAUUUCAUAUAUUUUCUCAUUAUUCCUUGUAAUAACUCUUUAAGAGCAACUUGAAAUUAACGCUAGACCAGUCCAUUUUGGAUAGUUAUAAUCUUGUAAAGAACACUGAGCUAUUCUUUGGAGUGUAGAAAGAAAGAAUGGUUGAGCCAAAACUAGAUACCUCUGUAGAAAGAUUUAAGGGAAUAUAACUAAUACAAACAGGAAUAAGGUGCAGUGCCUGGCCAUGAAAAGCUCUCAUUCUAGGAGGAGAUCCAGACAAAUAAACUGUUUGGAGCAUAAAAAUUGCCAUUUUUGAGACCAAGCUGAUCAAAUAUAAAUAAUUCGUAUGAUUGGGAUACAUAUUAUAUAAUAACUCAGGAUACAAAAGCCAUCUGAAUGCUUGUUUUAGGAAUUUAAUGAAAGAAUGAGAAAUACUUCUAUAGUUCAUGAUGAAAUUUCUGUUUUACAAGUGUACAUGAGAAUUCCCUGGUGGCCUGGCCAUUAAGGAUUUGAUGUUGUCACUGCUGUGGUUCUGGUUCCAUCCCUAGCCCAGGAACUUCCACAUGCCACAG
This 4222-nucleotide long non-coding RNA is filed under the name Sus scrofa (pig). RNAcentral's name for it is "lncRNA (ENSSSCG00000053960.1, ENSSSCG00110022599.1)". The record is from RNAcentral. Lineage: Eukaryota; Metazoa; Chordata; Mammalia; Artiodactyla; Suidae.